This 314-nucleotide unclassified non-coding RNA is filed under the name Septobasidium broussonetiae. RNAcentral's name for it is "partial contains 5.8S ribosomal RNA, internal transcribed spacer 2, and large subunit ribosomal RNA". Lineage: Eukaryota; Fungi; Basidiomycota; Pucciniomycetes; Septobasidiales; Septobasidiaceae. The record is from RNAcentral.
CGCACCUUGCACCUUUUGGCAUUCCGAAAGGUACAUCUGUUUGAGUGUCAUGAAUCCCUCAACCUCUACAUUUCCUUGUGUGAUGUACGAGCGUUGGAUGUUGAGCGCUGCUGUGCUACGCCACAGCUCGCUUCAAAUGUAUCAGCAAUCUCGAUGGUGUUCGGAUUGACCCGACGUGAUAAGAUCUUCGUUGGGGAUGCUUUCAUUAGCAGCCGGUCUACCUUCAGAGUAGCUUCUAAAAUCGCUCGCACUUCGGUGUGAACAACCCCUUACAUUUAGACCUCAAAUCAGAUGGGACUACCCGCUGAACUUAA